UUUUCUCUCCUCUCAAACUUUUUCCUUUCAAAAUAUAUAAUCGUCACAACUUUUUUUUUCUUUCUUUCUUUCCAUUAAAGAGAGGUGAUUCAUCGUCAAUUUUGACCCGAAAUCACCCUUCCGAAUUGUUUUUCUUUCUCUUUUAGCUAAAUAAGUGAUUUUUUACAUAAUUUCAGUUUUCUUUCGUUGAUUUUGUGAUUUCGUUGUCUAGCACGACGUUGAUUAUUUUUAUCUCCCGUCUUUGUGUGGUGUAUUUUUUAUUUUCGGUCUUCGUGCGGUGUUUAUUUGAUUCAGGUUGAAAGUAGCUCAAGGACAAGGUCAUUUGGUAUACAUGGUGGUACCUUCCAAAUAGACGAUUUUGAUCCUUCACAUUGCCAAGUUUCCUGAUAGGUGAGAUAAUUAGGUCAAGUUUUCUUUAGACAAUAGAUAUGUUAUCGAAUAUUUUAACGGUGUCGAUGCAGUUAAAUAAAUUCUAGUUAUAUUAAGAGAUAAAACAUCUCAUCUUAUCUUAGUUUCGUACAAACAAAAGCAUGUUCAAAUGACAUUUGUACUAUCAUUUUGAGUAAAUUUUUGGAACAACUCUCUCAUAUUUUAUUGUGUCUUUACUCUCUUUUUCACUCAUUGUCUAUUGUUUUUGUUCUAAAAAAAGUGAGAAGAACAAUAUGAUUGUCCCAAAAAUUGUCAUAAAAUAAUUAUAUAAAUAUCUUUUUAAUUAUGAGAGUUGUACAAAUAUUAUUAUUCUAAUUGUUGUCACAAAAUAAUGUAUUUAAUAUAGGGCUAUAAUUUUGUUUAGAAUUCCAUAGAAGUUGAAUUUUAUGGCUAAGAGAAGUAGCAAGAAAGUGGCAUGUGGUAAUUCAACCGGGAUAAACAUUACUUAUACAACAACUAUAAGUAGCCAUAACGAGAAAGAGGAAUGAUAUU
RNAcentral lists this long non-coding RNA (921 nucleotides) under Medicago truncatula (barrel medic). RNAcentral describes it as "lncRNA gene9117". The record is from RNAcentral. Lineage: Eukaryota; Viridiplantae; Streptophyta; Magnoliopsida; Fabales; Fabaceae.